Long non-coding RNA from Arabidopsis thaliana (thale cress), 581 nucleotides. RefSeq annotates it as other RNA. The transcript has a single exon. Lineage: Eukaryota; Viridiplantae; Streptophyta; Magnoliopsida; Brassicales; Brassicaceae. The record is from RefSeq.
AAUAGAUGUGCUAAGGUGUCGCCUCUUCGCCGUCUAAAUGUUCUUCAGAAUCAGAUGAGAUGAUUUGUUUUUUGCGCACUUUUAGAUAUCGAGUGCUUCAAACUUUUUGAAACCUUGUUUUCUUUUUGUCCAUUUUUUUGUCGUGGUAUUCCAGACAAACCGAGUUGGGAAUUGAACAUAUGUCAUACUUUUGGCUUCUUCGUCACUUUGAUUAAUCUUCAUCCACUCUGUAAACAUUGUCCUGUCAACUCCAUCUCGUGAAAUGACACUGUCGAGACUUUGGUUUGCAUCGAAUAUAAGAGGUUGUUGGUCAGGCAGGUGCAAAGAAAGGUGUUGAACGGCUGGUCUGCUAUAGUGAAUAUCAAACGAAAUAUCCUCCACAUUGCCUCACAUGCUGAAAUAUAUCGACAUUCUUGAAAUUUUUUAAUCUCGUCAACAUAGUUUGACUCGCCUUUUGUUUUUACCACCGACCCCGAGGCCCUCUCUACAACAAUUGUAGCUUUGUCAACCCCUUUUUUUGAUGUAUUUAAAUAAAUACUUUCUCGUUUCGGUUGAACAGCACCAUUCAACAUUCAUAUGUG